Homo sapiens (human) is the source of this 10949-nucleotide long non-coding RNA. RefSeq lists it as uncharacterized. The record is from RefSeq and is a predicted model, not a curated record. The transcript has 2 exons. NCBI's taxonomy places the organism in Eukaryota, Metazoa, Chordata, Mammalia, Primates, Hominidae.
AACAAGGAAUUAAGAGGAACUUCCCCAACAUAAUAAAAAAUAUCUACAGAAAACCUACUGCCAAUAGCAAACUUAAUAGUAAGAAAGUGCAUACUUUCCCCCUAAAACAUAACAGUCUUUACUAAUCAAAAUCACAGAACUUUAUAGCACAAAGAAUGAGCCUUAAUAUAUACAAAUUUUAUUACAGCUCUCUGGUCUUCCUCCCCAAAACACAUAAGCACGAUUUCAUCACAAGAAAAGUAUCAGAAAAAUCCUAAUCAAGGGACAUUCUACAAAAUACCUGACCAGUCCUGCUCAAAACUUUCAAGGUAUCAAAGACAAGGGAAGUCUGAGAAACUGUCCCGCCUAGAGAAGCCUAAGGAAGAGAUGUCAUCAAGAUGGUUGACUAGAGGCGCUUGGUACUCACCUCCUCCACAAAGAAGGACCAGAAUAGCAAGUAGAUAACCACACCUCGAAAAGAGCAUCUAAGAGACAAUAUGGGGUUUUUGGCAGGGAAGUGACUGAGAAUGUCUAAGACACAGAAGGAAAGGGGAAAGGUAAGUGAGAGGUCCCCAGUGGCCCACAUCCCCACCACUGACACCUGCAACCCUACCCCCAGAAGAGUCCCUCAGCUCUCACAAGCCCUAAGCCUGGUACAGGAGGCUUUCUGGAAUCCACAUGACUAACUGUUCCAGAGAGAGAAUUCACACUGGGUCCCACUCACACCAGGAGCCCCAAGCAACUACAUCACAGCACCGUAUUGAGCUCAACCCCCACCAGACUGCAUCCUGCCCUGGAGACCAAUAGCCCCUGCAUCUCCACAUCUCUGGAGCCCUGCUGGCAUCUCCCAUGUUCUUCCAGAAGGCUGUAGCAGCACAAUGCCAGCCAGACCCAGUGAUGUGGCCAGGUCCCCAGCACUCUAGUCCACCCCAUGUCCUAUGCCUUGGGAAACAGAUGGCCAACACACCAGGAUGACUACUCCCAGGACGAAAAGAGCCAAAACAUGUGUUCUCCAAAGCCUGGGAGCUACCUGCCUAGGGCCACAGUCACCAGUAGCAACCCCUGGCAGGGCUGCCAAUGUACCUGCACACACCUUCAGGUGCCCUGAAAACGUGGUUUCUCUGGGCAUGAAGAUGUGUCUGCCCAUCUGCACACACUGUCCAGGAGCCUGGGGAUCAACCCACUCCACCUGUCACCGCCCACUGUCACCACCUGCGUGUCUCCCAGGGGCCUGAGGAUUGGUCCGCUGCCACUACUGCUAGAGCCAGCACCAUGGCACACUGCCUGGGGCCUAAGAACACACAGGCCCAGCCCAUGACUGCCACCACUAUUGCAUGAGCAUGCCACCUGGAGGCCCAAAGACUGGCCCGACCAGGACCCCACAGCCACCACUGGCAUCUUUGUCUGCCAUCCAGGGCCAUGCUGCCACCACCACUGACUGGUGCCUUACGAAUGAUCGGGCUGGUAUCCCCUUCCCAGCAAAGCCCUACCACAGCCUCCACUAACAACCACAGCCUAUGCCACUGAGAGGAACUCUCAGACACCACUGACAUUGAUUACAAUCAAAAAAGUCAUAAAAAGACUACACUGCUGCGCCCACCCAGAACCACUACCCAACCAAUAGUAUAAAUACAUCUACAGGAAAAAGUCUUUGCCUCUGAAAGCUAAUCCAUAAAAUUGGAAGAAGUGACCAUUAAACCAGGUGUAAGAUAUCAAUGAUAAGGACACAAGAACGAUGAGGAAGCAAGAAAACAUGAUACCUCUUGUGUUAGUCCAUUUGCACCACUAUAAAAGAAUACUUAGCCGGGCUCAGUGGCUCACGCCUAUAAUCCCAGCACUUUGGGAAGCUGAGGCAUGAGAAUCACUUGAACCUGGGAGGUGGAGUCUGCAGUGAGCUGAUAUUGAGAUCGCGCCACUGCACUCCAGCCUGGGUGACAGAGCAACUCUGUCUCAAAAAAAAAAAAAGAAUACCUAAAGCUGGGUAAUUUAUGAAGAAAAGAGGUUUAAUUCGCUCACAGUUUUGCACGGUGUACAGGAAGCAUGGUGCUGUGUCCUGCUUCUGGUGAGGCCUCAGGAGGCAUACACUCACGGUGGAAGGUGAAGGGGCAGCAGGUGCAUCACCUGGUGAGAGUGGGAGCAAGAGCGAAGGAGGAGAAAGGUGCCACACACUUUUACACAACCAGGUCUUGCAAGAACUCACGCACUAUCACAAGGACAGCGCCAACUCAUUCCUGAGGGAUCUGUCUCCAUGACCUAAACACCUUCUACCAGGCCCCACCUCCAACAUUGGGGAUCACAUUUCAACAUGAGAUUUGGAGGGGACAAACAUCCAAACUAUAUCUCCUCCAAAGGAAAAUCGUAAUUCUCCAGUAAAAGAUCUCAAAGAAAAGGAAAUUUAUGAAAUGCCUGAAAAGAAUUCAAAAUAAUGAUCUUGGGGAAACUCAGUGGAUUAUAACACAGAUCAACAAUACAAAGAUACAGAUAUCCUAAAAUAGAACCAAAUCAGAAAUCUUGGAACAGAAGAAUUCAAUGAAUGAAAUAAAAAAUAAAAUCAAGAGCAUCAACAAGAGAUUAGAGUGGAAGAAAGAACUUCUGAACUCGAAGACAAGACUUUUGAAACAACUCGGAUUUUUUUUAAAAAAGAUAAUUUAAAAGUAUACAGAAAGCCUAUGUGACAUGCAGGACACCAUAAAGCAAACAUAUAUUUGAAUUUCAGGAGUUCCAGAAAGAGAAGAAAUGGACAAAGGCAUAAAAAACCUAUUUAAUAAAAUAAUAGUUUAAAAUUUCUCCAAGUCUUGAGAGAGAGAGAUAGACAACCAGAUACAGCAGGCUCAAAGAUCCCCACAUAUAUUCAAUCCAAAAAGGUCUUCUCUAGGCACACUAUAGUCAAGCUGUCAAAAGUGAAAGAGAAUUCUAAAAACAGCAAGAGUGUCAAGUCAUAUAUAAGGGAAUCUCCAUUAGACUAAGAGCAAAUUUCUUAGCAGAACCCUUAUAGAACAGGAGAGAAUGGGAUGAUACAAUCAAAGUACUGAAAGAAAAAAACUGCUUAUCAAAUCCAGCAAAACUAUCCUUCAGAAAUGAAGGAGAAAUAAAGUCUUUCCCAGACAAGUAAAAACAGAUAAUUCCUCACCACUAGACUGACUGUACAAGAAAUGUUUAAGGGAGUCCUAUAUCUGGAAGUGAAAGAAUGGUAUCUACCAUCAUAAAACUGUUCCAAAAUACAAGUUUAUUGAAAAAUAAAAGUAUGCUCAACUGUUUAUAAUCACAGACAAAUGGAAGUAACCAUCAGAAAGUCGUUAAAUGGGCCAGGCGCGGUGGCUCACAACUGUAAUCCCAGCACUUUGGCAGGCCAAGGCAGGUGGAUCAUGAGGUCAGGAGAUCAAGACCAUCCUGGCUAACAUGGUGAAACCCCAUCUCUACUAAAAAAUACAAAAAAAAUAGCCAGGUGUGGUGGCAGGCACCUGUAGUCCCAGCUACUUGGGAGGCUGAGAAUGGUGUGAACCCACGAGGCAGAACUUGCAGUAAGCUAAGGUCACGCCACUGCGCUCCAGCCUGGGUGACAGAGCGAGACUCCGUCUCAAAAAAAAAAAAAAAAAAAAGAAAGUCGUUAAAAUGAAUGACAUAUCCAUGGAAUACAAUGCAACUAAUUAAACACUGAGGUAAAACUGCUUGUAUACAAAGAGGUAAAACACAUUAAACAUAUUGUUAAACAAACAAAAAAAGCAACUUGUAGGCAGUAUGCAAAGCAUGAUUCAAUUUGCACUUUAAAAAUUCAAGUAUAGUUAGUAUAAACUAAACAUGUCAAUAAAGAUGGUUUCUAAAUUAUAAAUAGAUACUCCUUCUAGGGAGUGAAACUUAAGCGGGAAGGAAAUGGGGGUCCAACCAGGGUGGUUUUCAUUUUUAUAUUUCUGUAUAUUUUAUGAGAGCAAAUUUGAUAAAGUAAUUAUUUUCCUUAAAAACAGACUACAUUAUACAUAUAGCAUGAUACAUUAAAACAAUAUGGCUAUGUAUGUACAAAUAUACAUCUACAUAUAUAAACAUAAGACUAUUUUGUAUUGUUUUGUUUUUUGAGACUGAGUCUUGCUUUGUCACCCAGGCUGGAGUGCAGUGGCACAAUCUCGGCUCACUGCAACCUCCACCUCCCAUGUUCAAGCGAUUCUCCUGUCUCGGUCUCCCAAGCAGCUGGGAUUAUAGAUGUGCACCACAACACCCAGCUAAUUUGUGUAUUUUUAGUAGAGAUGGGGCUUUGCCAUGUUGGCCAGGCUGGUCUUGAACUCCUGACCUCAAGUGAUCUGCCCACCUUGGCCUCCCAAAGUGCCGGGAUUACAGGCAUGAGCCACCACACCCACCCAUAAACAUAAGAUUUAAAAAGCAUGCAUUCAGCAUGUAUUACCUUAAUCAUUAGGAAGAAAGCCCAAGAAACCUAAUAUAAACAUCAUCUAGCAACUGUGAAGGCUGGGGCUAAAUGUUACAAGAAUAGAAAAAUGACCUCCCCCUGGUGUGAUGUGACUGGAGAACUACACAGCUGGAGCUAGCAAGGAGGAAGGCAGGCUUGAGAACAGAGACAAUAAGCUCAGUUGUGUUCCUUUAGAUUCCAAGGUGCCAGCAAAAAACUGGGGAAUAUGGCAGGGCAUGGUGGCUCACGCCUGCAAUCCCAGCACUUUGGGAGGCCCAGGCAGGCGGAUCACCAGAGGUCAGGAGUUCAAGACCAAACUGGCUAACAUGGUGAAACCUGUCUCUGCUAAAAAUACAAAAAUGAGCCAGGCGUGGUGGCCCACACCUGUAGUCCCAGCUACUCGGGAGGCUGAGGCAGGAGAAUCACUUGAACCCGGGAGGCUGAGGGUACAGUGAGCCGAGAUCAUGCCACUGCACUCUAGCCUGGGUGACAGAGGGAGACUCUGUCUCAAAGAAAAGAAAAGAAAAAAACAAAAAACUGUGAAUAUGUGUAAGCAGCACGUUGAGUUCAAAAUACGGAAACAGAACCUAGGUGUGCAAACAGGGUGGCGGGGUGAGGGAGGAUACAAUGAUAUGCUCAAGCAAGAUUGUCAAAAGAUGAGGGGAAGAUGCCAGCAAAGAAGAAAAAAACAAUGAGAGCAAAAUCUUCUAAAACCCCCAAAGGAGAGAGUUUCAAGAGGAAACUGAUGGUGAGCAAGGUGAAAUAGCACUGCAUUCAGGAGGAUGAACGAGGAAGCCAUUAUAGAUAGGGCAAUUCAUGAGUAAAGUCUUAGCAGAGCAGUUUCCGAGUAUCCUAAUGGUGAGUCUAAUCCAGGGGUCAGCUAACUUUUUCUAUAAAUACCAUGUAAACAUAGUAAAUAUUUUAGGCUUUGAGAACCAAAUGGUCUCUGUGGCAGCUACCCCACUCUGCCAGUGUGGCAGGAAAGCACCACAGACAAUAUGUAAACAAGAAUCAUGGUGACCAGGCGUGGCAGCUCAUGCCUACAAUCCCAGCACUUUAAGAGGCCAAGGUGAGAAGAUCACUUGAGCCAGGAGUUUGAGACCUACCUGCACAACAUAGCAAGACCUCAUCUCUACUAAAAUUAAAUUUUAAAAAUUAGCCAGGUGUGAUGGUGCAUGCCUGUGGUCCCAGCUACUGGGGAGGCUGAGGUGGGAGGAUCGCUUGAGCCCAGGAGACUGAGGCUGCAGUGAGCUGUGAUUGGGCCAUUGCACCCCAGCCUGGUCAAAAGAGCAAGUCCCUAUCUCAACAACAACAACAACAACAAAAAAAGCAGCAGCAGCAUGGCUGUGUUCCAAUAAAACUUUAUUUAUAAAAACAAGUCACGCCAGAUUUGGGCCCUGAGCUGCAGUUUCCUGACCCCUCACACCAGUCACUACCAUUUCUGUUGAGAAAGAACUACUUUCAGAUUCUGCCAUCUGACACAAUAAUUCUUGUUUGAACACCAGUUUCCUGUUUGCAAAAUCCUGCUACUGCUUGUAGAUAUAUUCCUCUAUGUAUUUUCCUUAACUGUGAAGAUUUAAAUGAAAAUAUAUAAGAAUUCUGAAUCACUCCUAAAGGAGACAUUAGGAAAAAGAAAGACCUAGGUAUUGGUAAGAGAGAAAGGGAUAUAAAAUAAAAGGCAGAGCAGUAGAAGGUUCUGGAUUACAGUCACAAGUAAGAAUUAAAAGACAAAACAAACCCAGGCCUUAAAAAUGCACUUUAGAAUUAGGUUCUAAUGGUGAGCCAGGCACAGCGGCUCAUGCCUGUAAUCCCAACACUUUGGGAGGCUGAGGCGGGUGGAUCACCUGAGGUCAGGAGUUCAAGACCAGCCUGGCCAACAUGAAACCUCAUCUCUACUAAAAAUACAAAAGAUUAGCCAGGCGUGGUGGCACACACCUUUAAUUCCAGCUAUUCGGGAGGCUGAGGCAGGAGAAUCGCUUGAACCCGGGAGGCGGAGGUUGCAGUGAGCCAAGAUCUCGCCACUACACUCCAGUCUGGACAUCAGAGUAAGAUUCUGUCUCCAAAAAAAAAAAAAAAAGAAGAAGAAUAUAAUGGCAGGAAAAGAAUCAGCUGAAUAAUUGGAGCAGCUCUGCUGAAUUCUAGGGAGGUCUGGUGUAAAGUUACCGUGGGUGCACUAUAGGUAACUAAUGUGUUAGAAAGUAAGUUUGAAAUAGGAUACAUUAAAUGGAUUAAAUAAAAUUUACCCACAGGUUUUUAAUUUCAAGCACGAAAUUAUCUGGGUUUCUUGAGCCCAGUGGACCCUGAAAGUCAAUAGCUCAGUCAUGGGUCAGACAGGGGGGAAAAAAAAGACAAGGCCUGUAUUUACUAUGCACAAACACAGGACAAAACAAAUUUAUAAUUAUCACGUGGAUGCUGUAGGAGAAUCUGAAAUUUUAGUUGCAAGAAAGAAACAGAAAAGUAGAAAUUCAUUGAAUAGUACUCAUUACUAAUUAAAGGUGUAUAAAAUGUUACUAAUAUUCUCUAUUCAACAUUAUUUCCUUGGUCCUUUUACUAAAUGAACAUAAUAUUUAGAAGGGUUUUCACUGAUUGCUACAAUUCCCAACUUUGAUCUAAAUUUUGCUUUAAAGAGCUUAAUUCUUCAAACUUGACUUCCCCUAUCACACAGAUGUUGUAGGAUAUAAUCUUUGUGUUUGAUAAUGAAAUGACUGUAUCCAAACUGCACCUCCACUAAGAGAUGGGCAGGUGGUAGUUUUUUUGUUUUGGGUUUUGUUUUGUUUUCCUGAUCUGAGAAUGACACCAAAGGUGGUAGGUUUGUGUUUGUUGUGGACUCUGCUUCUCUACUUCCCUAUUUCCCUUUCAGAGAUUAUGAGGAAGUUCUAGAAAACUAGGCAGUCUCUAGCUUUCCUCUAAUCCCUGUCCUCAGUCCUACCACACCCAGAAAAUGGCAACCAGGAGUCCAAAAAGAAUCACUGCCUUUACGCUAGGAGGAAUGGUGAAGACAUGGUCAUGUCAUAAUGGGUUAUAAACAGACAAAUGGACCUACAACCUGGGAAUUCUCCAGUGUUUUUCAGAGUCUACCAGAUAUUUUCAAAGAACAUAAAGGCAAAAGAUGGUAAUUUGCUUUCAUAAGCCAGGAGAAGAAAAGAAGGGAAAUGUGCUUUCUGGUGACAUAAAUCUUUAAAUAGUUAGCUUUGAAAGUCAAUGGAGUCAACAGAUAAGAGUGAACAAAAAUAAAAUGAAGUGUUCCUUCAGCCACUGGACCAGGUCGGGGUCUCCCCACAUCUCAUGAUGUGGUUCACGUGUUAGGAGGAGAAAUGAAUGAUGAUAUAUCCCUUCAGGUUUUUAACAUAGAGAGAUAGAUAGAUAGAUAGAUAGAUAGAUAGAUAGAUAGAUAGAUAGAUAGAUAUUUUUUUUCCUUUUUUGACAAGCUCCAAAGCUAGAAAAAUAUCACAUCAGAAAGAUUCUAAAACUGGUAGAGAAAAAGCUAACAAACUCUAAGAGCUGCUCAAAUUUUAUUUACAUGAUUUUUAACAUUUCUAACAGGCAAAACACAUUUUUUCCCCCAGUGUGUGGAAGGGAAGGUGCAAAUGGCUGAAUAUAAAUGGUAUUUAUUUCAAUCCAAUAUCUCAGACUAUGAAGGAACUAAUGGCAAAAUUUUUUUUAUUCCUAGGAAAGUGGCAAAUGAGUUUUUGCCAUGUAUAUGAGUUUCUUAUGGACCCACAUCAGAAGAGCAAGCCAUCUUCACACUGCCAUAAAUCAAAUAGAACCCAUAUAGUUUCUAUUAUCUUCAUUUCCCAGAUGCACUAAUAUAGGUUUUCAAAUGUCAACUUGAGAAAGUGCUUCCUUCUUUCUAGUUUGAAUGAGCAAAAGAAAUUAGCUUCUGAUCAUUCUUUUUAAUUUCCCUUUCCUGUAAAUUCUCUUUUUCAUAAAUCAAACAUGAUGAUUCUCAUAAAAAGGUUCAGCUCUAAUCUCCAAAAUGGCAAUAGCCAGGCUAAAAAUUUUUAAACAAGUGGUGAGGUGAAUGGCCGUGAAUGAUUCCAUUUAGAAGAAAUUAAGGAGGAUGAAAUCUACUUGGUAACGGGGUAAAAUGCCACUGGUCUCUUAGUCAAGACCGGGGGUUGGGGGUGGUGCGCGAUGACUUCUUUGUUAUCUGUUUGUGGCAAUGGGUCACAAUCAUUUUAAAUCCCAAGCCACUUUUGAUAAACAUGAAAAUGUUCCUUCAAUGCUAUUUGAAAUUUCAAAGGAAAUAUCAUUAAAAACAAAUUGAAAGCAAUGGUUAUUUUUUAAAAUGUCAGUUCAAACCACCUGGGUGCUCUUGGAGUGCCCCCUCCCCCAAUUCUCUGCUAGGUGAAAAUCCAUUAUCUGUGUGACCUAGAACAAAUAAAAAUCACUUUCAACAGCCGGGCACAGUGGCUCACGCCUGUAAUCCCAGCAUUUUGGGAGGCCAAGGUGGGCGGAUAACGAGGUCAGGAGAUCGAGACCAUCCUGGCUAACACAGUGAAACCCCGUCUCUACUAAAAAUAUAUAUAUAAAAAAUUAGCCGGGCGUGGUGGCAGGCGCCUGUAGUCCCAGCUACUCGGGAGGCUGAGGCAGGAGAAUGGCGUGAACCCGGGGGGCGGAGCUUGCAGUGAGCCGAGAUCACGCCACUGCACUCCAGCCUGGGAGACAGCAAGACUCCAUCUCAAAAAAAAAAAAAAAAAAAAUCACUUUCAAGUAAACCUUGUUAAGUGACCUUAGUUCCAACUUGGAGUCUCGGACUCAUGUUAAUUUUUUUUUUUUAAUCUUACGACACUCUGUUGAACGAGUACAAACCAUUUACACACAUAUCACAAUAACUCAAGAAUCCUGAGAAACAGGUGAAACCAUUAUUCUAGAAAUUAGAAAUAAAACAUAUCUCUACUGAGAUAUAUAAAGAUCAACUCUCUUACAUCUUCUUCUCUACCUACAUGUCCAUGUUCAAGUCUCCCCACUUCAAACCAACAGACCAAUAACCCUCCCCUCAAAGCCCCCCCACAAACCCCAAAGCCUUCUGUGACCCUUCCUCCCAAGAUGACCAUCUGUUCUCUUUCUUGCCAAAUAUUAUGACAAUCUGCCGUCCAUCUCCACCAAACCAUUGAGAUUACUUUGGUAACAGGCAUCAAUAAUCUCUGAUUUGUCAAAUAUUUGGGUUUCUUUUUUUUUUUCCAAAUUAAUUUAUUUUUUCUUUUACCUUGAUUCUUUCCUUCUUCCUAAUUUCCAUAGGCUUAUUUUGCUAUUUCUUAGAUUUAAUGCUUAGCUUACUAAGCUAACUAGUAGAUGACUAGUUGCCCACCAAUCCCUAUUCUCCCCUUUGUCCUUAUAAGCAGAGAACCUUGCAGACGUAAAAAAGAACAAGAUCAUGUCCUUUGCAGGGACAUGGUUGGAGCUGGAGGCCAUUAUCCUCAGUAAACUAACACAGGAAUGGAAAACCAAAUACCACAUGCUCUCACUUAUAAGUGGUAGCUAAAUGAUGAGAACACAUGGACACAUAGAGAGGAACAACACACACUGGGGCCUAUCACAGAGUGGAGAAUGGGAGGACGGAGAGGAUCAGGAAAAAAACAAAUGGGUAGCAGGCUUAAUACCUGGAUGAUGAAAUAAUCUGUACAACGAACUCCCAUGACACAAGUUUAUCUGUGUAACCAAUGUGCACGUAUACCUUUGAACUUAAGAGUUAAAAAAAAAAAUACAGAGCAUGCUUGAGCUACUUGGUCACAGCAAUAUAUGAUCUGUGGGGGAAUGGAUCCAGGAACCUCAUGGAUGGCAAAAUCCAUGGAUGCUCCAGUUUCUUCAUAAAAUGAUGUCAUAUUUGCAUUUAACCUAUGCACAUUCUCCAAUAUACUUUAAAUAAUCUCUAGAUUACUUACAAUAGCUAAUACAAUGUAAACGCUAGGUAGUCUUUACACUGUAUUUUUUUACUGUUGUAUUGUUAUUUUUUUCUGAAUAUUUUCAAUCUGUGGUUGGUUGAAUCUGCAAGGACACAGCCUGUGGAUACAGAGGGCUGACUCUGCUCUGCUAAAAGAACCUAUUUCCCAGUCUCCCUCUAGCAAGGGGUGACUAAGACACCUAGUUCUGGCUAAAAAGAUGUAAAUGGAAGAGUUAUGCAAAUAAUUUUAAAAGAAAGAAGAUGUGCCCUUCUUGUACACAUCUUUGUACUGUCUACUCAAAAUGAAGGCUGGAAUGCCAACAUGAUGGCUCUAGCAACCAUUAUGAACCAUGAAGUACACUGCAGAAUGAAAGUCAUCUGUUGAAUGUCAAAGAAGACAGGAAUCUGAGUCUCUGAUGACACUGUGAAGCCACUGUAUCAGCCUCUGGUUCACCUACAAUCAGGCUUCUGUGACAUUAGAAGAAAAGAUAUUUCUAACUUGAUUAACCUACUCACUAUCUGGGGAUGUUAUAUGCAGCUGAUCUGAAUCCCAAGUGAUAUAAUUCACAUUUGGUCCAAUUCUGAAUAUUGUUAUACAAUAUUCUUAUUUUCACUAUCUUACAAGUAUCUAUAAUUGUAGUUUUGAUUCCCUUUCACUUAAUGAAGAUUAAAAUUGAGUCUUGUGAAUUA